UGGAGUCAGUUUAGUUCACUGAUAUGUAUAUUACACUGGAUAAAGCACCACGUAUAAAAUAUAGUAAGAUAAUUGAAGCCAGAAGUUGGCUAAUCUGAUUAUGACCUUCGUGGGGGGUAUCAGUCCCACUUUACUAUACUUUUGUAAUACAAAAUCACAGUUUUUGCAUUUUUAUUCGUUCUAUCAACAUUUGAUUCUAGCAAAAUUUUUGUGAAAGGGACAGAACAACCGGCAAAACCUUUUGAUGAACAUUAAUCGUCCAGAUUUGUUGAGAAAAGUAGAGUUGCCAUAUUGAAUAAUUCCGACGAGCUCACGAUCGGAAAUUAUCGUCGUGACGUCCAAAUUCUUUCUCAAACACGAGAUAAUUUUCCCGCGUCGUUCAAGUUAAAAUGGGAACUUCUUCACAUCAUCUCUGCAAAGAAACGACGAUUUCAGGGUUGAAAUAUAUGUCGUUUGUGUCUCAUUUCAUUUUAAAUACGGUUCUACUACUUAACGUACCAAAACGUUUCUGUUUAGUUGUUCCCUUAAAGCAAGCCGAAAAGCUGAAUUCGGAAGCCGACAAAGAGGGUAUGCGUUUGACAAAGACGAAAGCAAGAGACGGGGCGUUGCAGAUUUGUAAAAACUUCAUUAAAGAUGAAAGUCUCAGAAGCAUCUUACCAAGCGAAACGAGCAGGUCGAACAUUUGUCUUGGACAUUUCAUUUGUGUGGUGGACUUAUCGAUAGAUUAAAAAGGCUUCAUCAAGGAAAAUUUCAAAUCAUUGAUAAAGAAUGCUAAUGCAUCAGAGUAGCAAGACUUUGACAACAUGAUAUUGGCCAUGGACCGUUCUCUCAUUUCUUUGAGCCCACCAAAGAUGCAACAAAUUUCGAUUUCAAUGAGUCAAACUGCAAUAAGAGAUGAAGACAAGAAAGAGCGACAAGCAGCUUUGGCUGAAAACCAUGAAAGAUAGGCAAGGUCACAAUUCGUUUGUUGAAGUUUGCUGAAGAAGCCAUUGUCAAUGAAGUUGAAAGCGAUGUGUGGAAGAUUUUCUCCGACAUUUCCACCAGCUGCUGGUUCAGUUCAAGGACAAAUACUCUUCAGCAAGGAGCCGCAAGUCUCUCAUCAAUGUUCAUUCAAUUGCUUCAGGGCAGUAGAAUCAUCGCGAUUAUUUGAAUAGAUUUAUAGAGUAAUAACAUGUACUUUUAAAGAAGAAAUUCUCGUUGUAGUUUUGUCACCGCCACAAACGAAGAACAAUGUUUACGAAGCUCAAAGCCACAUGUUUUUGAUGAAGCAGCCAUUGGCAAUGAACUUUUAACAUGCAAUUGGCAUAGAAGAAAGCGAUCCGUUUUGAAAGUGUUGCUGUUUUCAAAAUUAUUAUUAAUGUUGGCCUGAUGAGAUGAAGACAAGAAAGAGCAACACGCAGCUUUGGCUGAAGAACAUGAAAAGUAAAUUUAAAUAGAAUGUGAGAAUCAAUUCGUUCGUUGAAGUUUGGUGAAGAAGCCAUUAUCGAUGAAGUUCAAAGCGAUGUUUUUCUUCAAUCAAAUGUAGCAGAUAUAAGCUAGCGUCAGGAAUACGUUUAAAAAAGAUCCAACAUGGAUGUAGUAGAGUUGUGAAAGUCCCUUUGCCACCUGUGUCCUUUGCUUCAAUUACUCUCACUAGUUUUCAUUACGAAUGUGUCAUGGUGAUUCAUGGCCAAGAUUGUUUAUGUGUAGUUUUGAUUCAUUCUUGAUGUCAGUUGUUUGUUCAUAUAAUGAUGAUGGGCCCCAUUGUUGUAUGAGCCCACCUAACGGUGGUCAGCUGAUAAAGAUGAUCAACUCUGCACUAAGCCAUCUUUAAGUGAUGAUAUAACUGGGGUAUUGAAGUCCCUUUUCCUUUCCUCAAAGUUGUGUAUAUAAAUGUUACGAUAUUCUUUCAACAUGAAAACAAAUGAGUGGAAAAAGUAGCUACAAAAGAAGAUGGAAAAAGUUUUGUUAUAUGCUACUUGAUUUAUUUCUGUUGUUCUUGUGAAAAUCUCAAUGGUUUUUAUUGGUGGUACUGAUUUUUGGUUUGUUUAUCGAAUGGCACAUUUAUUCAGCUAAAGGUUUACUUAUUGUCUUUGUGAAAGGUGUCGUGAUGUCAAUUAUUGAAAUGUUAACAAUUGCAAGAGUCACUUUAAUGUUGUACAAAGAAAGAUCCAACCAACAUGGAUGUAGUAGAGUUGUGAAAGUCCCUUUGCCACCUGUGUCCUUUGCUUCAAUUACUCUCACUAGUUUUCAUUACGAAUGUGUCAUGGUGAUUCAUGGCCAAGAUUGUUUAUGUGUAGUUUUGAUUCAUUCUUGAUGUCAGUUGUUUGUUCAUAUAAUGAUGAUGGGCCCCAUUGUUGUAUGAGCCCACCUAACGGUGGUCAGCUGAUAAUCAAAGAUGAUCAACUCUGCACUAAGCCAUCUUUAAGUGAUGAUAUAACUGGGGUAUUGAAGUCCCUUUUCCUUUCCUCGAAGUUGUGUAUAUAAUAUAUCUGCUUUCAAGUUCAUAUCAACUUAAACUGCACUCAUAUCAUGAUAAAAAUAUAUGGAUAUUAGUAGAUAUUGUCUAUAGUUGAUUCAUUAUUUGUGUUAUUAAUUAUAUUAUCAAUCAUAUUAUUAAUUAUAUUAUUAAUUAUAUUAUUUCUUUGAAAGUAUUGUAUUGAAUGUGUAAUUAGUUUUGAUUAUUCCGACACAAGUAACAUUGAAUUGCUUCUUUGAUCUUCAUAUUAUGUACUUAUGAUUGAUAAGCCAUUUAUUAUGAUUGUAAAUUGUACAAUAAAUGAAUAGAUUCUACUUUGGACAAAUGCCAAAAUAAAAAUUAAUGUAAUAUGAAUAAAUUAUGUUACUGAA
Molecule: long non-coding RNA, 2829 nt
Organism: Xenia sp. Carnegie-2017
Lineage: Eukaryota; Metazoa; Cnidaria; Anthozoa; Malacalcyonacea; Xeniidae
Exons: 11
Source: RefSeq, a predicted model, not a curated record